UGGCUGUAGCUAUAUUAGCCAAGAAAGGAGGGAAGAAAAUUGGUUGGCUUGCAGUUUUCUUUAUCAUCAACAACCCACUUACCAAGCUUCCCACAUCU
Small nucleolar RNA from Phoenix dactylifera (date palm), 98 nucleotides. RefSeq annotates it as small nucleolar RNA snoR109. Lineage: Eukaryota; Viridiplantae; Streptophyta; Magnoliopsida; Arecales; Arecaceae. The record is from RefSeq and is a predicted model, not a curated record.